GGGGCUUGGGCUCAGUGGUAGAGUGCUUGCCUAGCAUGUGUGAGGCACUGGGUUUGAUUCUCAGCCCCG
Molecule: transfer RNA, 69 nt
Filed under: Marmota monax (woodchuck)
Lineage: Eukaryota; Metazoa; Chordata; Mammalia; Rodentia; Sciuridae
Description: tRNA.Ala
Source: RNAcentral